RNAcentral lists this ribosomal RNA (388 nucleotides) under uncultured Pezizales. RNAcentral's name for it is "eukaryotic LSU rRNA". The stretch from base 333 to 388 matches the Rfam family "Eukaryotic large subunit ribosomal RNA", at positions 1 to 56 of the family's 3401-position model. The record is from RNAcentral. Lineage: Eukaryota; Fungi; Ascomycota; Pezizomycetes; Pezizales.
UGACGUAUGUGUGAAUCAUCGAAUCUUUGAACGCACCUUGCACUUUGGGAGUCAAUCUCAAAGUAUACCUGUUUGAGUAUCAUAAACAUUUAUCCAAGUAAUUGGGAUUUGAGGAUUAUUUUCUCUGAGAAGGUAUUCCUUUAAAUAUAGAACGGAGUUAGCUGAUGAACUUGCACGCUUACUCGAGUGAGGAUAUUUGCAUUAGUGCAAAGGAUUCAUAAGAGAUUGUGUUAGGGGAUAUUAGUAAUUUAUAAUUCCGAUGAUUUGUUUUGUUUUGUUGUUUUGUUUUGUAAAAAACACUAGCUCAACAAUUCAAUUCUUCUGUACAAAUGUGAUCUCAAAUCAGGCAAGAUUACCCGCUGAACUUAAGCAUAUCAAUAAGCGGAGG